Molecule: ribosomal RNA, 253 nt
Filed under: uncultured bacterium
Lineage: Bacteria
Description: partial 16S ribosomal RNA
Rfam family: Bacterial small subunit ribosomal RNA
Source: RNAcentral
UACGGGGGGGGCAAGCGUUGUUCGGAAUUACUGGGCGUAAAGGGCGCGUAGGCGGCCUGCUAAGUCGAACGUGAAAUCCCCGGGCUCAACCCGGGAACUGCGUCCGAUACUGGUUGGCUUGAAUUCGGGAGAGGGAUGUGGAAUUCCUGGUGUAGCGGUGAAAUGCGCAGAUAUCAGGAGGAACAUCGGUGGCGAAGGCGGCAUCCUGGACCGAUAUUGACGCUGAGGCGCGAAAGCCAGGGGAGCAAACGGG